RNAcentral lists this ribosomal RNA (2345 nucleotides) under fermentation metagenome. Its description in RNAcentral is "bacterial LSU rRNA". It matches the Rfam family "Bacterial large subunit ribosomal RNA", at positions 14 to 2302 of the family's 2925-position model. The record is from RNAcentral.
AGGGCAUACGGUGGAUGCCUUGGUACCAACAGCCGAAGAAGGACGUGGCAAGCUGCGAGAAGCUGCGGCGAGGCGCAAGCGGCCUUUGACCCGCAGAUGUCCGAAUGGGGCAACCCACCUGGAGUAGUCCAGGUAUCCCGUAAGGGAAGGAACCCGGAGAAGUGAAACAUCUCAGUAUCCGGAGGAAGAGAAAUCGAAGAGAUUCCCUAAGUAGUGGUGAGCGAACGGGGAAGAGCCUAAACCAUAUACAUGUAAGGCUGCGGUCGUUGUGUAUAUGGUGUAGAGGGGCUUUUCAUGCAUAGUCCGCAGGCUAGGCACGGAGUUAUCAAGAUACUUUUUAGCAGAACUGUGUUGGGAAAGCAGGCCAUAGACGGUGAGAGCCCGGUAUGCGACAGAGAGUAUCCUCCGAGAAGAGUUCCCGAGUAGGCCGGAGCACGUGGAAUUCCGGUUGAAUCAGGGUGGACCAUCAUCCAAGGCUAAAUACUGUUGGUGACCGAUAGUGGAUGAGUACCGAGAGGGAAGGGUGAAAAGCACCCCUGGCGGGGAGUGAAAUAGACCUGAACCCGUAUGCCUACAAGCAAUCGGAGCAAGAGAUGCCGCGAGGCAUUGAAUGUGACGGUGUGCCUUUUGUAAAAUGAGCCGGCGAGUUAUUAGACGUAGCGAGGUUAAGGUGCGUAUGUGCACUGGAGCCGUAGGGAAACCGAGUCUGAAUAGGGCGCAAGUUUCGUUUAAUAGACCCGAAGCCGCACGAUCUAUCCAUGGCCAGGUUGAAGUCCGGGUGAAGCCGGAUGGAGGACCGAACCAGUUUCUGUUGAAAAAGAUUUGGAUGAGCUGUGGAUCGGAGUGAAAAGCUAAUCGAGUGCGGUGAUAGCUGGUUCUCCCCGAUAUGCAUUGAGGUGCAGCCUUACGGAAUUGAGAUAUGGGGGUAGAGCACUGGAUGGACGCGGGGGACUGGGGUCCUACCAAAUUCAACCAAACUUCGAAUACCAUAUUUUGUACCGUAGGAGUGAGACUACGGGUGAGAAGGUCCGUGGUCGUGAGGGAAACAGCCCAGACCGUCAGCUAAGGUCCCAAAGCGUAUGCUAAGUGUGGCAAGGAUGUGAGAGUGCCUGGACAGCCAGGAGGUUGGCUUAGAAGCAGCCACCCUUUAAAGAGUGCGUAACAGCUCACUGGUCGAGGACUUUUGCGCCGAGAAUGUAGGGGGCUAAGCAUACUGCCGAAGCUGCGGGAUAUGUGCAAGAGUGUAUAUAUCGGUAGGGGAGCGUUCCAUACGGGGCGAAGCAGAGCCGCGAGGUCAUGUGGACUGUAUGGAAGUGAGAAUGCUGGCAUGAGUAACGCGAAGUGCGUGAGAAACGUACUCACCGGAAGCCCAAGGGUUCCUGGGGAAGGUUCAUCCGCCCAGGGUUAGGCGGGACCUAAGGCGAGGCCGAGAGGCGUAGUCGAUGGAUAGCAGGUAGAUAUUCCUGUCCCAGCCAAUGAGCGUUAAUACCGAAGGGGUGACACAGAAAGCUAGGUGAUCCGGGUGAUGGAAGUCCCGGUCCAAGGGUGUAGGGAGUUUCCGCAGGCAAAUCCGCGGGAAUAAUUCUGAGACCUGAUGGGGAGGCCCUACGGGGUCGAAGUCAUUGAAGCUCGGCUGUCGAGAAAAGCCUCUAGGGAGUUUGUUGGUUGCUCGUACCCGAAACCGACACAGGUGGGCUAGCUGAGGAAGCUAAGGUGAGCGGGAAAACCCUCGUUAAGGAACUCUGCAAGUUGACCCCGUAACUUCGGGAGAAGGGGUGCCACUCUGGUGAAAUAUAAUCAUAUGGAGCUAAGGGUGGUCGCAGAAACCAGGCUCAGGCGACUGUUUACUAAAAACACAGGUCUCUGCAUAAGGCGUAAGCCGAAGUAUAGGGACUGACACCUGCCCGGUGCUGGAAGGUUAAAUGGAGAGGUUAGCGUAAGCGAAGCCUUGAUAUGAAGCCCCAGUAAACGGCGGCCGUAACUAUAACGGUCCUAAGGUAGCGAAAUUCCUUGUCGGGUAAGUUCCGACCUGCACGAAUGGUGUAACGAUCUGAGCACUGUCUCAACGAGGGACCCGGUGAAAUUGUGGUACUGGUAAAGACGCCAGUUACCUGUGGUGGGACGGAAAGACCCCGUGGAGCUUUACUGUAGCCUGAUAUUGGAUUUUGGUCUGUCAUGUACAGGAUAGGUGGGAGGCGUAGAAUGGAGGGCGUCAGCCUUUCAGGAGCCGUUGUUGGGAUACCACCCUUGACAUACCGAAGUUCUAACUGUUGAGUCUGAAUCGGCUGGCAGGACAUUGUCAGGUGGGCAGUUUGACUGGGGCGGUCGCCUCCUAAAGAGUAACG